UCCUGGCUCAGAUUGAACGCUGGCGGCAGGCCUAACACAUGCAAGUCGAACGGUAACAGGAAGCAGCUUGCUGCUUYGCUGACGAGUGGCGGACGGGUGAGUAAUGUCUGGGGAUCUGCCUGAUGGAGGGGGAUAACUACUGGAAACGGUAGCUAAUACCGCAUAACGUCGCAAGACCAAAGAGGGGGACCUUCGGGCCUCUUGCCAUCAGAUGAACCCAGAUGGGAUUAGCUAGUAGGUGGGGUAACGGCUCACCUAGGCGACGAUCCCUAGCUGGUCUGAGAGGAUGACCAGCCACACUGGAACUGAGACACGGUCCAGACUCCUACGGGAGGCAGCAGUGGGGAAUAUUGCACAAUGGGCGCAAGCCUGAUGCAGCCAUGCCGCGUGUAUGAAGAAGGCCUUCGGGUUGUAAAGUACUUUCAGCGGGGAGGAAGGCGAUGYGGUUAAUAACCRCGUCGAUUGACGUUWCCCGCAGAAGAAGCACCGGCUAACUCCGUGCCAGCAGCCGCGGUAAUACGGAGGGUGCAAGCGUUAAUCGGAAUUACUGGGCGUAAAGCGCACGCAGGCGGUCUGUCAAGUCGKAUGUGAAAUCCCCGGGCUCAACCUGGGAACUG
Molecule: ribosomal RNA, 617 nt
Filed under: Atlantibacter hermannii
Lineage: Bacteria; Pseudomonadati; Pseudomonadota; Gammaproteobacteria; Enterobacterales; Enterobacteriaceae
Description: bacterial SSU rRNA
Rfam family: Bacterial small subunit ribosomal RNA
Source: RNAcentral